This 450-nucleotide ribosomal RNA is filed under the name uncultured bacterium. RNAcentral describes it as "bacterial SSU rRNA". It matches the Rfam family "Bacterial small subunit ribosomal RNA", at positions 354 to 796 of the family's 1533-position model. The record is from RNAcentral.
GUGGGGAAUAUUGGACAAUGGGGGCAACCCUGAUCCAGCCAUGCCGCGUGUGUGAAGAAGGCCUUCGGGUUGUAAAGCACUUUUGUUGGGGAAGAAAAGCACUGGGUUAAUACCCUGGUGUCAUGACGGUACCCAAAGAAUAAGCACCGGCUAACUUCGUGCCAGCAGCCGCGGUAAUACGAAGGGUGCAAGCGUUACUCGGAAUUACUGGGCGUAAAGCGUGCGUAGGCGGUUUGUUAAGUCUGUCGUGAAAGCCCCGGGCUCAACCUGGGAAUGGCGAUGGAAACUGGCGAGCUAGAGUACGGUAGAGGAGAGUGGAAUUCCCGGUGUAGCAGUGAAAUGCGUAGAGAUCGGGAGGAACAUCAGUUGCGAAGGCGGCUCUCUGGACCAGUACUGACGCUGAGGCACGAAAGCGUGGGGAGCAAACAGGAUUAGAAACCCGAGUAGUCC